RNAcentral lists this transfer RNA (77 nucleotides) under Chlorobiales bacterium. Its description in RNAcentral is "tRNA-Arg". It matches the Rfam family "tRNA". From Rfam's summary of the family: Transfer RNA (tRNA) molecules are approximately 80 nucleotides in length. Lineage: Bacteria; Pseudomonadati; Chlorobiota; Chlorobiia; Chlorobiales. The record is from RNAcentral.
GCACCCAUAGCUCAACUGGAUAGAGUAUCAGCCUCCGAAGCUGGCGGUUGCAGGUUCGAAUCCCGCUGGGUGCACCA